AUUGAACGCUGGCGGCAGGCUUAACACAUGCAAGUCGAGCGGGGUGAUGGUGCUUGCACUAUCACUUAGCGGCGGACGGGUGAGUAAUGCUUAGGAAUCUGCCUAUUAGUGGGGGACAACAUCUCGAAAGGGAUGCUAAUACCGCAUACGUCCUACGGGAGAAAGCAGGGGAUCACUUGUGACCUUGCGCUAGUAGAUGAGCCUAAGUCGGAUUAGCUAGUUGGUGGGGUAAAGGCCUACCAAGGCGACGAUCUGUAGCGGGUCUGAGAGGAUGAUCCGCCACACUGGGACUGAGACACGGCCCAGACUCCUACGGGAGGCAGCAGUGGGGAAUAUUGGACAAUGGGGGGAACCCUGAUCUAGCCAUGCCGCGUGUGUGAAGAAGGCCUUAUGGUUGUAAAGCACUUUAAGCGAGGAGGAGGCUCUUUUGGUUAAUACCCAAGAUGAGUGGACGUUACUCGCAGAAUAAGCACCGGCUAACUCUGUGCCAGCCGCCGCAGUAA
Molecule: ribosomal RNA, 503 nt
Filed under: uncultured bacterium
Lineage: Bacteria
Description: partial 16S ribosomal RNA
Rfam family: Bacterial small subunit ribosomal RNA
Source: RNAcentral